Musca domestica (house fly) is the source of this 1297-nucleotide long non-coding RNA. RefSeq lists it as uncharacterized. NCBI's taxonomy places the organism in Eukaryota, Metazoa, Arthropoda, Insecta, Diptera, Muscidae. The record is from RefSeq and is a predicted model, not a curated record. The transcript is spliced from 2 exons.
AUAGUAUGGAGGAGGGUAUAAAAAAUGUAUUUCCCAAUACUAAUUUUAUUAAAUAAAUACUUUAAAUUAGAUUACUCUUUUUCUAUCAAAUAAAUAUAUUUUAUAACAACAAAUAUAUUUUCGCACUUUUUUGUUUGACAAAAACCGUGUGUAUUUUACAUUAAAUAAUCGUUUAAAAAAGUUGCACGAUAAGUUGUACAUCAAUUAUCAUUUCAAUUAAAAGUGUCCAACCCGAAGAUUACCCCACAGACAUGAAGUUCACGAACGCAAAAUCCAUUUACGAAGACCUUCACUGCCUUUACACGGUGCAAUUUUUAGCUGGCAUUUUUAUCAAUUCUCUUUUAAAAUUUCUGCGUAAAUCGUCGCGCCUUUACACGGUGGCAUUUUACUUGGCAUUUUUUCUGACAUUUUAUUUUAUUAGGUAUUUCGUAUAGAGCUGUAUUGUUGUGCUAAUUGUUUCACAUAUUGUCACAUAUUUAUUAAAAUUAUUAACUUUUAUUUUAACUUUCUUUUUUUUUACUUUUUAAAACAAUUUACUUAAAACGAUCACUAAACACAUCACAAUAAAAGAAACGCAUCAAAAAUUACAAUAAAGAAACGAUAUGAACAGCCUGUUCCACGAUCUCGAAAGAAAAUUUGUGCGAACGAAGGCUACUCACUCACUUUCGUAUAAGAAUGCGUUCCACUAACUUUCGUUCUUUCUUUCGCAUAGCCUUACGUGAUUCAGUGUUGCUAAAUAUUUUUUUGGAAAAAUUAAUCGCGAAAUAAAGCAAAAAAAGCGUCAAAUGUCUAAUUUAAACGCGAAAAAGCAGCAGUGGCUCUGUCUCAACUGACAUUUCAGUUGUAAACAAACAAAUUGUAAAUAAACAAACAAAAUAAAAUUUCUAGUGAUUGUGUUCAAACUAUUUGUGCUCUUAGAAAAUAAAAAAAAAGAAUAUUUCCGUAGCCCUAUUUUUUAUGGAGGAGGUUCGAAAUGUGCCACGGAGGAAUUUAAGAGAUGCUUCGAAUUUAUUUGAAGUACCUAACAACCAGUUUGUGGCCAACUUUCGUGUGUCGAAGGAAGUUUUCGGGCUCUUUUGGAUAUGAUGGAAGAGAAGUGGGUGCCCGGUUGCAGAACUACCCAAAUCCGCCCCGAUUUAAAACUUCUUCUGCUGCUUCCAAAAAUUGGCAUUCCUCUGGCGAACACAGGAUUCUCCUCCAUUUACUCAACUAGUGCCCGCAGCUGUGUAGUUGAUGAUUUUUUCGUGCUGGAAUUGAGAAAAUAAAAAAUAUAUAUAUUUGUUGUUCACAUAUUAAA